RNAcentral lists this ribosomal RNA (804 nucleotides) under Streptomyces tumescens. Its description in RNAcentral is "bacterial SSU rRNA". It matches the Rfam family "Bacterial small subunit ribosomal RNA", at positions 56 to 872 of the family's 1533-position model. Lineage: Bacteria; Bacillati; Actinomycetota; Actinomycetes; Kitasatosporales; Streptomycetaceae. The record is from RNAcentral.
UGCAAGUCGAACGAUGAAGCCCUUCGGGCUGUAUUAGUGGCGAACGGGUGAGUGACGCGUGCGCAAUUCUGCCCUGCACUCUGGGACAAGCCCUGGAAACGGGAGCUAAUACCGGAUAUCACUUCCACUCGCAUGUGUGGGGGUCGAAAGCUCCGGCGGUGCAGGAUGAGCCCGCGGCCUAUCAGCGUUGUUGGCGAGGUAAUGGCUCACCAAGGCGACGACGGGUAGCCGGCCUGAGAGGGCGACCGGCCACACUGGGACUGAGCCACGGAUCAACUCUUAUACGGGAGGCAGCAGUGGGGAAUAUUGCACAAUGGGCGAAAGCCUGAUGCAGCGACGCCGCGUGAGGGAUGACGGCCUUCGGGUUGUAAACCUCUUUCAGCAGGGAAGAAGCGAAAGUGACGGUACCUGCAGAAGAAGCGCCGGCUAACUACGUGCCAGCAGCCGCGGUAAUACGUAGGGCGCAAGCGUUGUCCGGAAUUAUUGGGCGUAAAGAGCUCGUAGGCGGCUUGUCACGUCGGGUGUGAAAGCCCGGGGCUUAACCCCGGGUCUGCAUUCGAUACGGGCUAGCUAGAGUGUGGUAGGGGAGAUCGGAAUUCCUGGUGUAGCGGUGAAAUGCGCAGAUAUCAGGAGGAACACCGGUGGCGAAGGCGGAUCUCUGGGCCAUUACUGACGCUGAGGAGCGAAAGCGUGGGGAGCGAACAGGAUUAGAUACCCUGGUAGUCCACGCCGUAAACGGUGGGAACUAGGUGUUGGCGACAUUCCACGUCGUCGGUGCCGCACCUAACGCAUUAAGUUCCCCGC